This 253-nucleotide ribosomal RNA is filed under the name uncultured bacterium. RNAcentral describes it as "partial 16S ribosomal RNA". It matches the Rfam family "Bacterial small subunit ribosomal RNA", at positions 524 to 776 of the family's 1533-position model. The record is from RNAcentral.
UACGUAGGAGGCAAGCGUUGUCCGGAAUCACUGGGCGUAAAGCGCGUGUAGGCGGAUCGCUAAGUCUGUGGUGAAAGCGCCUGGCUUAACCGGGCGAGGUCCAUGGAAACUAGCGGUCUGGAGGCCGGUAGAGGGGGGUGGAAUUCCGGGUGUAGUGGUGAAAUGCGUAGAGAUCCGGAGGAACACCAGUGGCGAAGGCGGCCCCCUGGGCCGCGCCUGACGCUGAGACGCGAAAGCGUGGGGAGCGAACAGG